This 30-nucleotide non-coding RNA is filed under the name Homo sapiens (human). Lineage: Eukaryota; Metazoa; Chordata; Mammalia; Primates; Hominidae. The record is from RNAcentral.
UCCGGAAGUGCUGGAAUUAUAGUCGUGAGC